CCCCGUGGACGCACCCGCGGGUUGGCUGCACCGGGGAGACCUUUGGCACCCGGCGGAGCUCAGUGGGGACGAGGAUGAGGCACCACGGGCCGCUGAGGGCACCGGGGCUCCAGGUGUCCCCCACAACCCCAGCGCCUCCGAGAAGCAGCGGGUGAGGAGCAAGCUGAGGCGCUUCAUCGUCAAGCGGCCCUCGCUCCAGAGCCUGCAGGAGAAGGGGCUCAUCCGAGACCAGGUGUUCGGGUGCCGCCUGGACGCCCUGUGCCAGCGGGAGGGCAGCGCCG
RNAcentral lists this long non-coding RNA (281 nucleotides) under Columba livia (rock pigeon). Its description in RNAcentral is "partial uncharacterized LOC102090696". The record is from RNAcentral. Lineage: Eukaryota; Metazoa; Chordata; Aves; Columbiformes; Columbidae.